AUCCAGCUGAUGAGUCCCACCUGGGACGAAACGUGCGUCAAACUGUAU
Molecule: non-coding RNA, 48 nt
Organism: Schistosoma haematobium
Lineage: Eukaryota; Metazoa; Platyhelminthes; Trematoda; Strigeidida; Schistosomatidae
Source: Rfam